Molecule: ribosomal RNA, 639 nt
Filed under: Clavariadelphus ligula
Lineage: Eukaryota; Fungi; Basidiomycota; Agaricomycetes; Gomphales; Clavariadelphaceae
Description: eukaryotic LSU rRNA
Rfam family: Eukaryotic large subunit ribosomal RNA
Source: RNAcentral
GCUGAACUUAAGCAUAUCAAUAAGCGGAGGAAAAGAGACUAACAAGGAUUCCCCUAGUAACGGCGAGUGAAGCGGGAAGAGCUCAAAUUUGUAAUCUGGCGGUCUCAGGCCGUCCGAGUUGUAGUCUGGAGAAGCGUUUUCCGCGUCGGACCGUGUACAAGUCCCUUGGAACAGGGCGUCAUAGAGGGUGAGAAUCCCGUCUUCGACACGGACUGCCGAUGCUUUGUGAUGCGCUCUCGAAGAGUCGAGUUGUUUGGGAAUGCAGCUCAAAACGGGUGGUAAAUUCCAUCUAAAGCUAAAUAUUGGCGAAAGACCGAUAGCGAACAAGUACCGUGAGGGAAAGAUGAAAAGCACUUUGGAAAGAGAGUUAAACAGUACGUGAAAUUGUUGAAAGGGAAACGCUUGAAGUCAGUCGCGUCUUCCGGGACUCAGCCUCGCUCCUGCUUGGUGCAUUUCCCGGACUGACGGGCCAGCAUCGAUUUCGGUCGUCGGAGAAAGGCCGAGGGAAUGUGGCACCCUUCGGGGUGUGUUAUAGCCCUCGCUCGUAUGUGACGCCAGGGAUCUAGGAUCUCACAACACGUCUUUAUGGCGCGGGGUUCGCCCACGUAAACGUGCUUAAGAUGCUGGUGUAAUGGCUUU